Molecule: ribosomal RNA, 400 nt
Filed under: uncultured bacterium
Lineage: Bacteria
Description: partial 16S ribosomal RNA
Rfam family: Bacterial small subunit ribosomal RNA
Source: RNAcentral
CCUACGGGUGGCAGCAGUGGGGAAUAGUGCACAAUGGAGGGAACUCUGAUGCAGCGACGCCGCGUGAGUGAAGAAGGAAUUCGGUAUGUAAAGCUCUAUCAGCAGGGAAGAAAGUGACGGUACCUGAAAAAGAAGCUCCGGCGAAAUACGUGCCAGCAGCCGCGGUAAUACGUAUGGAGCAAGCGUUAUCCGGAUUUACUGGGGGUAAAGGGAGAGUAGGUGGCAGAGCCAGUCCGAAGUGAAAACCCAACGCUCAACUAUGGGAAUGCUUUAGAAACUGCUCAGCUAGAGUGCAGGAGAGGCCAGUGGCAUUCUUAGUGUAGCGGUGAAAUGCGUCGAUAUUAGGCGGCACCCCAGUGGCGAAGGCGGCUUGCUGGACUGUAACUGACACUGAGGCUCG